This 72-nucleotide transfer RNA is filed under the name Candidatus Iainarchaeum sp. RNAcentral describes it as "tRNA-Val". It matches the Rfam family "tRNA". Rfam says of the family: Transfer RNA (tRNA) molecules are approximately 80 nucleotides in length. Their secondary structure includes four short double-helical elements and three loops (D, anti-codon, and T loops). Lineage: Archaea; Nanobdellati; Candidatus Iainarchaeota; Candidatus Iainarchaeia; Candidatus Iainarchaeales; Candidatus Iainarchaeaceae. The record is from RNAcentral.
GGGCUAGUAGUCGAUUGGUAAGACGUCCGCUUGACGUGCGGAAGACAGGGGGUCCGAUUCCUCCCUGGCCCA